Molecule: unclassified non-coding RNA, 383 nt
Filed under: uncultured bacterium
Lineage: Bacteria
Description: contains 16S-23S intergenic spacer region
Source: RNAcentral
UCCGAGUUGACCCCGGCAGUUCCCCUAGAGUGCCCGGCCGAACCGAUGGCAACUAAGGGCGAGGGUUGCGCUCGUUGCGGGACUUAACCCAACAUCUCACGACACGAGCUGACGACAGCCAUGCAGCACCUGUGUGGCGUCCAGCCGAACUGAAGAAACCCGUCUCCGGGUUCCGCGACGCCCACGUCAAGGGCUGGUAAGGUUCUGCGCGUUGCUUCGAAUUAGACCACAUGCUCCACCGCUUGUGCGGGCCCCCGUCAAUUCUUUUGAGUUUUAGCCUUGCGGCCGUACUCCCCAGGCGGGGCACUUAAUGCGUUAGCUGCGGCACGGAAUCCGUUGAGUGAAUCCCACACCUAGUGCCCACCGUUUACGGCGUGGACUAC